RNAcentral lists this ribosomal RNA (253 nucleotides) under uncultured bacterium. RNAcentral's name for it is "partial 16S ribosomal RNA". It matches the Rfam family "Bacterial small subunit ribosomal RNA", at positions 524 to 776 of the family's 1533-position model. The record is from RNAcentral.
UACAGAGGGGGCAAGCGUUGUUCGGAAUUACUGGGCGUAAAGGGCGCGUAGGUGGCCAACUAAGUCAGACGUGAAAUCCCUCGGCUUAACCGGGGAACUGCGUCUGAUACUGGAUGGCUUGAGUUUGGGAGAGGGACGCGGAAUUCCAGGUGUAGCGGUGAAAUGCGUAGAUAUCUGGAGGAACACCGGUGGCGAAGGCGGCGUCCUGGACCAACACUGACACUGAUGAGCGAAAGCCAGGGGAGCAAACGGG